AUCCAGCUGACGAGUCCUGGAUAAGAUGAAACGCGUGUCUUGGAU
Schistosoma haematobium is the source of this 45-nucleotide non-coding RNA. NCBI's taxonomy places the organism in Eukaryota, Metazoa, Platyhelminthes, Trematoda, Strigeidida, Schistosomatidae. The record is from Rfam.